This 298-nucleotide signal recognition particle RNA is filed under the name Saimiri boliviensis boliviensis (Bolivian squirrel monkey). RNAcentral's name for it is "Metazoan signal recognition particle RNA (ENSSBOG00000015213.1)". It matches the Rfam family "Metazoan signal recognition particle RNA". Rfam says of the family: The signal recognition particle (SRP) is a universally conserved ribonucleoprotein. It is involved in the co-translational targeting of proteins to membranes. Lineage: Eukaryota; Metazoa; Chordata; Mammalia; Primates; Cebidae. The record is from RNAcentral.
GCCAGCACGGUGGUGCGUGCCUGUAGUCCCAGCUACUUGGGAGGCGGAGGUGGGAGGAUCGCUUGAGCCCAGGAGUUCUGGGCUGCAGUGUGCUAUGCCGAUCUGGUGUCUGCACUAAGUUUGGCAUCAAUAGGGUGACCUCCCGGGAGCGGGGGACUAUCAGGUUGCCUAAGGAGGGGAGAACCGACCCAUGUCAGAAACAGAGCAGGUCAAAACUCCUGUGCUAAUCAGUAGUGGGAUGGCACCUGUGAACAGCCACUGCACUCCUGCCUGGGCAACAUAGCAAGACCAUGUCUCA